UGUAUUUUCUAGGGAUUAAAGAUAAAAUUAAAAUAUUUGGCGGCUGUGUAUAUUAAAGGGAUUUGCUAUAUUCGAUACACCUCGUUUAUUAUUAGUUAGUUUAUUUUUGUAUACCGUCAUUUAGAUAAUUUUGAUAGGGGUGAAUUAUGCUGAUAGUUUAUAUUAUAUUAGAUCAAGGUGCAGAAAUAAUUAAUUUAAAGUUAAUGACAAUAAUAAUUAUUACACGGGCUCUAAAUAAUUUUGGUUAAUAGGUGGAUUUAAUUGUAAUGAAAGUGUAUUGGAAUUAUAUUGUAGUGUACAAAUUGCCCGUCAUUCUC
RNAcentral lists this ribosomal RNA (317 nucleotides) under Niphargus schellenbergi. Its description in RNAcentral is "partial 12S ribosomal RNA". The record is from RNAcentral. Lineage: Eukaryota; Metazoa; Arthropoda; Malacostraca; Amphipoda; Niphargidae.